This 428-nucleotide ribosomal RNA is filed under the name Bacteroidota bacterium. RNAcentral describes it as "Bacteroidetes bacterium partial 16S ribosomal RNA". It matches the Rfam family "Bacterial small subunit ribosomal RNA", at positions 355 to 776 of the family's 1533-position model. Lineage: Bacteria; Pseudomonadati; Bacteroidota. The record is from RNAcentral.
UAGGGAAUCUUCCGCAAUGGACGCAAGUCUGACGGAGCAACGCCGCGUGAGUGAAGAAGGAUUUCGGUUCGUAAAACUCUGUUGUUAGAGAAGAACAGCGCAUAGAGUAACUGUUAUGCGUGUGACGGUAUCUAACCAGAAAGCCACGGCUAUCUACGUGCCAGCAGCCGCGGUACUACGUAGGUCCCGAGCGUUGUCCGGAUUUAUUGGGCGUAAAGCGAGCGCAGGCGGUUUGAUAAGUCUGAAGUUAAAGGCAGUGGCUCAACCCUUGUAGGCUUUGGAAAAUGUGUAACGUGAGUGCAGAAGGGGAGAGUGGAUUUCCAUGUGGAGCGGUGAAGUGCGUAGAUAUAUGGAGGAACACCGGUGGCGAAAGCGGCUAUCUGGUCUGUAACUGACGCUGAGGCUCGAAAGCGUGGGGAGCGAACAGG